CGUUUUGAACUGGCAGUCUAGAGUGCGUCAGAGGGGGGUGGAAUUCCACGUGUAGCAGUGAAAUGCGUAGAGAUGUGGAGGAACACCGAUGGCGAAGGCAGCCCCCUGGGAUGACACUGACGCUCAUGUACGAAAGCGUGGGUAGCAAACAGGAUUAGAUACCCUGGUAGUCCACGCCCUAAACGAUGUCAACUGGUUGUUGGGGGAGUGAAAUCCCUUAGUAACGAAGCUAACGCGUGAAGUUGACCGCCUGGGGAGUACGGUCGCAAGAUUAAAACUCAAAGGAAUUGACGGGGACCCGCACAAGCGGUGGAUGAUGUGGAUUAAUUCGAUGCAACGCGAAAAACCUUACCUACCCUUGACAUGUCCGGAAUCCUGCAGAGAUGCGGGAGUGCUCGAAAGAGAACCGGAACACAGGUGCUGCAUGGCUGUCGUCAGCUCGUGUCGUGAGAUGUUGGGUUAAGUCCCGCAACGAGCGCAACCCUUAUCAUUAGUUGCUACGCAAGGGCACUCUAAUGAGACUGCCGGUGACAAACCGGAGGAAGGUGGGGAUGACGUCAAGUCCUCAUGGCCCUUAUGGGUAGGGCUUCACACGUCAUACAAUGGUCGGUACAGAGGGUUGCCAAGCCGCGAGGUGGAGCCAAUCCCAGAAAGCCGAUCGUAGUCCGGAUUGUUCUCUGCAACUCGAGAGCAUGAAGUCGGAAUCGCUAGUAAUCGCGGAUCAGCAUGUCGCGGUGAUACGUUCCCGGGUCUUGUACACACCGCCCGUCACACCAUGGGAGUGGAAUC
Molecule: ribosomal RNA, 789 nt
Filed under: uncultured Nitrosomonadales bacterium
Lineage: Bacteria; Pseudomonadati; Pseudomonadota; Betaproteobacteria; Nitrosomonadales
Description: bacterial SSU rRNA
Rfam family: Bacterial small subunit ribosomal RNA
Source: RNAcentral